AAAACAGAGACGGAAGCGGCAACGUUCUAGCGGUGGCGAAGGUGAAUUGCCAUUUAGGUCGAGGUGGGUGUGUUAGAUAUAUGUCCUAAAAGCCAAUAUAAAAUUGAAAAUUCUAAGAAUAUAAUAUUAAAUAACUAUAAUUAAUAGAGCAUGAAUGUUAAUUUAGGAAACUAAUAUAUGCAAACUACAAAGUAACAAGUCCAUGGAUAAUGAUAUAAAUGAGACCCUUCCAAUUGUAUCCUAAAAUGGUCCUGGUCAUAGGAUCACCAAUUGGACAACAGUGAUCUACAAAGAUUGGUACACAUUAUGUUUGCUCAAGUGGGAGGAUGACUAGUCUAAAGUCAUUUGUGUAUAAGACACUGAGACAAGUGUGUAGGUGCUCAAUAGAGAUGGAGUUCACUGAACGCGAUCAAACUAAGAAUUCUUGUGUGAAAGUUUUACUCACAAGUGUCAAACAAGUAAUUCUAAGUUAUGAUAAUGUAAAUUAGCCCUUAGACCUGAGACGCAUAGAGGGACAAAUGGGGUUAUGCGACCCUAUGGCAGCUGGGAAAAGUAGUGGUAAAGCUCUGAUGUGACCCCAAGGCGCACACCAAGUGCUCGACAAAAUGCCCAGCAUAGAAGGAAGAAGCUUGCGCACAGCACAUGCCUUGCGGUGCACACACGAGCUGUGUUUUUUUUUUUUUUUUUUUAAUAAACCGCGUGGCCAAAAUGACGCAAUUUUGUUCCAGGCAUGUUAAUUUUUUUUUUUAAACCUAGCCUCAAAACGACGUCGUUUUGAAGCCAAGUUUUUUUUUUAAAAAAAAAACCGCCAACAACACUAGCUUAUCUCUCCUCCCCGAGCUCCUUCAUUGCCAAAACCUAAUUUUUUUUUUUCAAAAUCCCCUCUCCUCUCAAAACCCUAACUAAUCCCCAACCUUCACCACACCACCAUCAACCAAUACAAGGCGCUGCCAUCACUUCUCAUAAAGUCAAGUGAGUGAUAAUUUUACAUAUAUUAUUUUGAGCUUUGGAUAAUUUUAAUGAAAUUGAUAUAUCUUUCAUGAAUUAUAAUUUAUUGGUAUAUGGUUAUAUUGAAUGAUUUAUUUUUUUUGGAUUAGAAUUUAUGUUAAUAGAUUGAUUUUCUUUAUGAAUUAGAAUUUUU
Molecule: long non-coding RNA, 1141 nt
Filed under: Prunus persica (peach)
Lineage: Eukaryota; Viridiplantae; Streptophyta; Magnoliopsida; Rosales; Rosaceae
Description: long non-coding RNA (PPER_LNC001232)
Source: RNAcentral